Molecule: ribosomal RNA, 1424 nt
Filed under: uncultured bacterium
Lineage: Bacteria
Description: 16S ribosomal RNA
Rfam family: Bacterial small subunit ribosomal RNA
Source: RNAcentral
UUAGAGUUUGAUCCUGGCUCGGAUGAACGCUGGCGGCGUGCCUUAUAUAUGCAAGUCGAGCGGUACUGAGAGCAAUCGAAGUACAGCGGCGGACGGGUGAGUAACGCGUGGGUAUCUUCCUUAAAGUUGGACAUAGCUAGCCGAAAGGUUAGGUAAUUUCCAAUGUGACCGCAAGGUCAAAGCAGCAAUGCGCUUUAAGACGAGCCUGCGUCCUAUCAGCUAGUUGGUGGGGUAACGGCCUACCAAGGCAACGACGGGUAGCUGGUCUGAGAGGAUGGUCAGCCACAAUGGGACUGAGACACGGCCCAUACACCUACGGGUGGCGCAGUAGGGAAUCUUCGACAAUGGGCGAAAGCCUGAUCGAGCGACGCCGCGUGGAGGAUUGAAGGCCUUCGGGUUGUAAACUCCUUUUAUCUGGGAAGAUUAUGACGGUACCAGAUGAAUAAGCACCUGCUAACUACGUGCCAGAAGCCUCGGUAAGACGUAGGGUGCAAGCGUUAUCCGGAUUUACUGGGCGUAAAGUGUUGCGUAGGCGGUCCGAUGCAUUUUGUUUUAAAGCCUAUGGCUUAACCAUAGUUUCGGACAAAAUAUGAUCGGACUGGAAGAAUAGAGGGGGUACUGGAACUUGUCGUGUAGCAGUGAAAUGCGUUGAUAUGACAAGGAACACCAAAGGCGUAGGCAGGUACCUGGCUAUUUCUUGACGCUGAGGCACGAAAGCUUGGGGAGCGAAGCAGAUUAGAGACCUGCGUAGUCCAAGCCGUAAACGAUGGAUGCUAGAUAUCCGACUUUUGUUGGGUGUCGUAAGCUAACGCGUUAAGCAUCCCGCCUGGGGAGUACGAGCGCAAGCUUAAAACUCAAAGGAAUUGACGGGGAGGCGCACAAGCAGUGGAGCAUGUGGUUUAAUUCGAGACAAAGCGAAAAACCUCACCAGGACUUGACAUGCAGAUGCAAAUCCGCCGAAAGGCGGACUCCUUCGAGGGUUCUGCACAGAUGCUGCAUGGCUGUCGUCAGCUCGUGGCGUGAGCUGUACCCUUAAGUGGGAUAACGAGCGCAACCCGCACUAUAUGUUAAAUAAUUCAUAUGGAACUGCCCCUUUAUUUGGGGAGGAAGGCGCGGAUGACGUCAAGUCAGCACGGCUCUUACGUCCUGGGCUACACACAUCCUACAAUGGUGAAUAACAACGAGUUGCAAGCUGGCAACAGCAAGCUAAUCUCUAAAAUUUCAUCUCAGUUCGGAUUGGGGUCUGCAAUUCGACCCCAUGAAGUCGGAAUUGCUAGUAAUCGCAAAUCAGCAGGUUGCGGUGAAUACGUUCUCGCCUCUUGUACACACCGCCCGUCAAGCGAGCAAAGUUGGGGGCACCCGAAUGUCAAUUUAUUGGCAGAAGGUGAAAUCAGCGAUGAGCGCUAAGUCGUAACAAGGUAACC